GACGAACGCUGGCGGCGUGCUUAACACAUGCAAGUCGAACGAAGAGCGAUGGACGCUUGCUUCUAUCAAUCUUAGUGGCGAACGGGUGAGUAACGCGUAAUCAACCUGCCCUUCAGAGGGGGACAACAGUUGGAAACGACUGCUAAUACCGCAUACGAUCUAAUCUCGGCAUCGAGGAUAGAUGAAAGGUGGCCUCUACAUGUAAGCUAUCACUGAAGGAGGGGAUUGCGUCUGAUUAGCUAGUUGGAGGGGUAACGGCCCACCAAGGCGAUGAUCAGUAGCCGGUCUGAGAGGAUGAACGGCCACAUUGGGACUGAGACACGGCCCAGACUCCUACGGGAGGCAGCAGUGGGGAAUCUUACGCAAUGGACGAAAGUCUGACGGAGCAACGCCGCGUGAGUGAUGACGGCCUUCGGGUUGUAAAGCUCUGUCAAUCGGGACGAAAGGCCUUCUUGCGAAUAGUGAGAAGGAUUGACGGUACCGGAAUAGAAAGCCACGGCUAACUACGUG
Molecule: ribosomal RNA, 510 nt
Filed under: uncultured bacterium
Lineage: Bacteria
Description: partial 16S ribosomal RNA
Rfam family: Bacterial small subunit ribosomal RNA
Source: RNAcentral